Molecule: long non-coding RNA, 827 nt
Organism: Electrophorus electricus (electric eel)
Lineage: Eukaryota; Metazoa; Chordata; Actinopteri; Gymnotiformes; Gymnotidae
Source: RefSeq, a predicted model, not a curated record
UCAACCUGGAUUAGGCUUCUCCAGAAAUUUCCCUUUGAAUUUCCUUUGCUUUCUAAAAAGCCAAACCAGCUCCUGCAGGAGAGGAAUAUGAGCUCCAGCAAAGCCAUAUAGCUCCACAUCAUCUCUUUAACAGAUCAUGCCAUCUCUUCAUACAGACCCACACCGUCUCUUCCAAAAUGCUGGAGUGCUGGAAGGCAGAAACUUGAGCCUUUCUCUGCUGUCUCGAGGGGCUCAGAGGAGAUGGUGAAGGAGAGACCUUACAGCAAAACCAAAGGCCGUGAUCCACUUGAGCCCCAGAAGGCAACACCCCGCAUCCUGCAUUACUGAACAACUCCAGUCCUGGAUGUAGGAUGAGCCCACAGCCAGACAACAGUACACAGCUUUGUUUCUAUACCUGAGCAGAAAAACCCAGCCUUCCUCUGCCUGCCACAAACAGAUGCACAUGGACAAGCCCAGCCGUCCUCCACCUGCAACCAACAGAUGCACAGCGCUAGCGAGAAGAAGCUGGGCGCAGGAUUCAGGAUGACAUAAUGAUGGAUUAUAACGGAAUGAGGAGCCUGUGUCCUCUGUCUUGGCUGAGAGGAGUGAAACCUGAUGUGAUCAUCUGCUGUUGUAGCCCAACUGCCUUAAAUUUUGUCGUGUUCACCAAAUCACUGCAUGCUUCUUUCUCUGUUCCAGCACAUCUUCACAAAGAAAGCUAAUCUCAGAAGGCCUGCCCAUUGCCACACUGGAGGCAGACACCGAGACGGUUAUUCCCUCCAACUGUCGCCAGCUCCCAUGCCAUUCAUUCUCAACAAAAUGGAUGUUUUAUUGUAAUCAAAUGAACA